This 492-nucleotide ribosomal RNA is filed under the name uncultured bacterium. RNAcentral describes it as "partial 16S ribosomal RNA". It matches the Rfam family "Bacterial small subunit ribosomal RNA", at positions 28 to 507 of the family's 1533-position model. The record is from RNAcentral.
GAUGAACGCUAGCUACAGGCUUAACACAUGCAGGUCGAGGGGAAACGACAUCGAAAGCUUGCUUUUGAUGGGCGUCGACCGGCGCACGGGUGAGUAACGCGUAUCCAACCUGCCCAUCACUUGGGAAUAACCUUGCGAAAGUAAGACUAAUACCCAAUGAUAUCCCACGAAGGCAUCGGAAUGGGAUUAAAGAUUUAUCGGUGAUGGAUGGGGAUGCGUCUGAUUAGCUUGUUGGCGGGGUAACGGCCCACCAAGGCAACGAUCAGUAGGGGUUCUGAGAGGAAGGUCCCCCACAUUGGAACUGAGACACAGUCCAAACUCCUACGGGAGGCAGCAGUGAGGAAUAUUGGUCAAUGGGCGAGAGCCUGAACCAGCCAAGUAGCGUGCAGGAAGACGGCCCUAUGGGUUGUAAACUGCUUUUAUAAGGGAAUAAAGUGGGUCACGUGUGACUUUUUGCAUGUACCUUAUGAAUAAGGACCGGCUAAUUCCGUG